Molecule: ribosomal RNA, 440 nt
Filed under: uncultured bacterium
Lineage: Bacteria
Description: partial 16S ribosomal RNA
Rfam family: Bacterial small subunit ribosomal RNA
Source: RNAcentral
CUACGGGUGGCUCCAGUGGGGAAUAUUGGGCAAUGGGCGCAAGCCUGACCCAGCAACGCCGCGUGAGGGAAGAAGGUUUUCGGAUUGUAAACCUCUGUCCUUGGGGACGAAGAAGUGACGGUACCCAAGGAGGAAGCUCCGGCUAACUACGUGCCAGCAGCCGCGGUAAUACGUAGGGAGCAAGCGUUGUCCGGAAUUACUGGGCGUAAGGGGUGGUAGGCGGCAUAUUAAGUCAGGUGUGAAAUACUCGGGCUCAACCCGGGGGCUGCAUUUGAAACUGAUAUGCUUGAGUGUGAGAGAGGAAAGUGGAAUUCCUAGUGUAGCGGUGGAAUGCGUAGAUAUUAGGAGGAACACCAGUGGCGAAGGCGACUUUCUGGCUCAUAACUGACGCUGAGGCACGAAAGCGUGGGGAGCAAACAGGAUUAGAUACCCCCGUAGUC